AGAGUUUGAUCAUGGCUCAGAUUGAACGCUGGCGGCAGGCCUAACACAUGCAAGUCGAGCGGUAGCACAGAGAGCUUGCUCUCGGGUGACGAGCGGCGGACGGGUGAGUAAUGUCUGGGAAACUGCCUGAUGGAGGGGGAUAACUACUGGAAACGGUAGCUAAUACCGCAUAACGUCGCAAGACCAAAGUGGGGGACCUUCGGGCCUCAUGCCAUCAGAUGUGCCCAGAUGGGAUUAGCUAGUAGGUGGGGUAACGGCUCACCUAGGCGACGAUCCCUAGCUGGUCUGAGAGGAUGACCAGCCACACUGGAACUGAGACACGGUCCAGACUCCUACGGGAGGCAGCAGUGGGGAAUAUUGCACAAUGGGCGCAAGCCUGAUGCAGCCAUGCCGCGUGUGUGAAGAAGGCCUUCGGGUUGUAAAGCACUUUCAGCGGGGAGGAAGGCGUUAAGGUUAAUAACCUUGUCGAUUGACGUUACCCGCAGAAGAAGCACCGGCUAACUCCGUGCCAGCAGCCGCGGUAAUACGGAGGGUGCAAGCGUUAAUCGGAAUUACUGGGCGUAAAGCGCACGCAGGCGGUCUGUCAAGUCGGAUGUGAAAUCCCCGGGCUCAACCUGGGAACUGCAUUCGAAACUGGCAGGCUAGAGUCUUGUAGAGGGGGGUAGAAUUCCAGGUGUAGCGGUGAAAUGCGUAGAGAUCUGGAGGAAUACCGGUGGCGAAGGCGGCCCCCUGGACAAAGACUGACGCUCAGGUGCGAAAGCGUGGGGAGCAAACAGGAUUAGAUACCCUGGUAGUCCACGCCGUAAACGAUGUCGAUUUGGAGGUUGUGCCCUUGAGGCGUGGCUUCCGGAGCUAACGCGUUAAAUCGACCGCCUGGGGAGUACGGCCGCAAGGUUAAAACUCAAAUGAAUUGACGGGGGCCCGCACAAGCGGUGGAGCAUGUGGUUUAAUUCGAUGCAACGCGAAGAACCUUACCUGGUCUUGACAUCCACAGAACUUUCCAGAGAUGGAUUGGUGCCUUCGGGAACUGUGAGACAGGUGCUGCAUGGCUGUCGUCAGCUCGUGUUGUGAAAUGUUGGGUUAAGUCCCGCAACGAGCGCAACCCUUAUCCUUUGUUGCCAGCGGUCCGGCCGGGAACUCAAAGGAGACUGCCAGUGAUAAACUGGAGGAAGGUGGGGAUGACGUCAAGUCAUCAUGGCCCUUACGACCAGGGCUACACACGUGCUACAAUGGCAUAUACAAAGAGAAGCGACCUCGCGAGAGCAAGCGGACCUCAUAAAGUAUGUCGUAGUCCGGAUUGGAGUCUGCAACUCGACUCCAUGAAGUCGGAAUCGCUAGUAAUCGUAGAUCAGAAUGCUACGGUGAAUACGUUCCCGGGCCUUGUACACACCGCCCGUCACACCAUGGGAGUGGGUUGCAAAAGAAGUAGGUAGCUUAACCUUCGGGAGGGCGCUUACCACUUUGUGAUUCAUGACUGGGGUGAAGUCGUAACAAGGUAACCGUAGGGGAACCUGCGGUUGGAUCACCU
RNAcentral lists this ribosomal RNA (1528 nucleotides) under Klebsiella pneumoniae. Its description in RNAcentral is "bacterial SSU rRNA". It matches the Rfam family "Bacterial small subunit ribosomal RNA". The record is from RNAcentral. Lineage: Bacteria; Pseudomonadati; Pseudomonadota; Gammaproteobacteria; Enterobacterales; Enterobacteriaceae. RNAcentral also lists the same sequence under 1 other name.